GGGGGAUAACACCUGGAAACAGAUGCUAAUACCGCAUAACAACUUGGACCGCAUGGUCCGAGCUUGAAAGAUGGCUUCGGCUAUCACUUUUGGAUGGUCCCGCGGCGUAUUAGCUAGAUGGUGGGGUAACGGCUCACCAUGGCAAUGAUACGUAGCCGACCUGAGAGGGUAAUCGGCCACAUUGGGACUGAGACACGGCCCAAACUCCUACGGGAGGCAGCAGUAGGGAAUCUUCCACAAUGGACGAAAGUCUGAUGGAGCAACGCCGCGUGAGUGAAGAAGGGUUUCGGCUCGUAAAACUCUGUUGUUAAAGAAGAACAUAUCUGAGAGUAACUGUUCAGGUAUUGACGGUAUUUAACCAGAAAGCCACGGCUAACUACGUGCCAGCAGCCGCGGUAAUACGUAGGUGGCAAGCGUUGUCCGGAUUUAUUGGGCGUAAAGCGAGCGCAGGCGGUUUUUUAAGUCUGAUGUGAAAGCCUUCGGCUCAACCGAAGAAGUGCAUCGGAAACUGGGAAACUUGAGUGCAGAAGAGGACAGUGGAACUCCAUGUGUAGCGGUGAAAUGCGUAGAUAUAUGGAAGAACACCAGUGGCGAAGGCGGCUGUCUGGUCUGUAACUGACGCUGAGGCUCGAAAGUAUGGGUAGCAAACAGGAUUAGAUACCCUGGUAGUCCAUACCGUAAACGAUGAAUGCUAAGUGUUGGAGGGUUUCCGCCCUUCAGUGCUGCAGCUAACGCAUUAAGCAUUCCGCCUGGGGAGUACGGCCGCAAGGCUGAAACUCAAAGGAAUUGACGGGGGCCCGCACAAGCGGUGGAGCAUGUGGUUUAAUUCGAAGCUACGCGAAGAACCUUACCAGGUCUUGACAUACUAUGCAAAUCUAAGAGAUUAGACGUUCCCUUCGGGGACAUGGAUACAGGUGGUGCAUGGUUGUCGUCAGCUCGUGUCGUGAGAUGUUGGGUUAAGUCCCGCAACGAGCGCAACCCUUAUUAUCAGUUGCCAGCAUUAAGUUGGGCACUCUGGUGAGACUGCCGGUGACAAACCGGAGGAAGGUGGGGAUGACGUCAAAUCAUCAUGCCCCUUAUGACCUGGGCUACACACGUGCUACAAUGGAUGGUACAACGAGUUGCGAACUCGCGAGAGUAAGCUAAUCUCUUAAAGCCAUUCUCAGUUCGGAUUGUAGGCUGCAACUCGCCUACAUGAAGUCGGAAUCGCUAGUAAUCGCGGAUCAGCAUGCCGCGGUGAAUACGUUCCCGGGCCUUGUACACACCGCCCGUCACACCAUGAGAGUUUGUAACACCCAAA
This 1300-nucleotide ribosomal RNA is filed under the name Lactiplantibacillus plantarum. RNAcentral describes it as "bacterial SSU rRNA". It matches the Rfam family "Bacterial small subunit ribosomal RNA", at positions 138 to 1425 of the family's 1533-position model. Lineage: Bacteria; Bacillati; Bacillota; Bacilli; Lactobacillales; Lactobacillaceae. The record is from RNAcentral.